RNAcentral lists this unclassified non-coding RNA (4883 nucleotides) under Hevea brasiliensis (rubber tree). Lineage: Eukaryota; Viridiplantae; Streptophyta; Magnoliopsida; Malpighiales; Euphorbiaceae. The record is from RNAcentral.
CUUUUCCUUGCUAAUUACGAUAUCCUCCGGCGUUUUGGAUUCACUCGCUCCCACCAACCAGUUGAAGGUUCGGUGAGAUGAGAAUCGCUGCCCAUCCCAAUUAUCAGCAAUUCCUACCAAACUGAGCCCCACAUUGCGCCACGUGUAAUACGUCCACUCCUGAUUUUUCUGAAACUCUUAUCAUUCUAGCCCUCUCUCAUAACAAACCGGAGGGCAACUACCUUUCCGGGGCGGAGAUUCCGUUGACUCGGAAGUUAAAAUGACCAUCUUACCCUUUCAGCGGUGUGAAUUGUUUAGUAUGAUAUAAUUUCUCUUAAACAAGAACCUUCUUUUUCUACUCUCAUCACUCGACUCAGUCCCUCACUCUCCCCCUGGACCUAAAAGCCUGUUAACCGAGAGUUAAACCAACAACCACCAACUUCAUGGCUCCUUCUUUUGUAACUAACGGCAGAGUUCCCACCUUCAAGUCCUCUCCGGCGACGGGCCGCGUCGCUUCUUUUUACAGUGAAGUGCAAGCGAGUCGGAUAGACCACGCCCUUCCUCUCCCUUCUGUCCUCAAAAACCGCUUCAAAAUCGUCGAAGGCUCCCCAAGCUCCGCGGCUGGCAAUCCAGGUCUUAUUUAUUGUUUCCAUUUUAAUUUUGAUCCGCUGUCAAUCAAUUGAUUCAGUGAAGUGAACUCAACAAAAUCUCCAGUCUCUCUCUCACUUUUUUGCCGGGAAAAUCGAGGGGACUAGGUUUUGAAUUUUGUUUCUAGAAGUGAAACUACAUUGUUGCUUUGCUAUUCCUGUAUAUUUUAAAAAUAUUUUUUUUAUAUGUAUUACGUGUUGCUUUUAGAUGAGAUCGCGAAGCUAUUUCCAAAUCUUUUUGGACAACCAUCGUCAAUGUUGGUGCCCAAUGGGGCUGAUUCAGUACCUUCGGAUCAGAAACUGAAGAUUGGUGUUGUUUUAUCUGGAGGUCAGGCUUCUGGUGGACACAAUGUGAUCUCUGGAAUCUUCGAUUACUUGCAGGACCGUGCGAAGGGAAGCAUAUUAUAUGGGUUUAGAGGUUGUCCUGCUGGGAUCAUGAAGUGCAAAUAUGUAGAAUUAACCGCUGAUUUUAUUUAUCCCUAUAGAAAUCAGGUAACUCUCUUCAGCGAAGCGAAUGUGUGAUUGGUUGAGUAAUCGGUACAAUUGAGGUAUAGUUAAUUGCACAAAGUGAAUGUUCAAAUAUUAAUUGGUUGGCAAUGUAUUUGUAACCACUAUUAUGAUAGUGUAGCUUUCCACAUUUUAAUUUAAAAGCUGUUUCCUCUGGAAAUUAACUUAGACUUAGUACUCAAUAAGUUACAAAAUGCAUAUUCAUCCUUUUUAGCUAUUUAUUUUUGUCAAGUCAGCCAUGCUUCUAUGAAGGGCUUAUCUGAAUUUGUUUUAAAUCCAAAAUUCAGGGUGGUUUUGAUAUGAUCUGCAGUGGAAGGGACAAAAUUGAGACACCCGAGCAGUUUAAACAAGCUGAAGAGACAGCAUUGAAACUCGAUUUGGAUGGACUAGUCGUUAUUGGUGGGGAUGACUCAAACACUAAUGCUUGCCUUCUUGCAGAAAACUUCAGGAGUAAAAAUAUGAAAACUAGGGUCAUUGGAUGCCCAAAGACCAUUGAUGGUGAUCUGAAAUGCAAAGAGGUCCCAACCAGUUUUGGAUUUGAUACUGCAUGCAAGGUGAUUAUGAUUAUGCAUUUUUCAUGCUAUAAAGAAUAUCUAGCAUAACUUUCUAUAUUUCACGGACAAAAAUUUGUAUGACUUUUUUGUGAGGGAAAAAAAUUGUUUCAAAUAUGUUAAUGUGAUUGGAUUCAUGUUGUCUACAUGAAACAGUCUCUUGUAGUAUUUUAAUGUAUUGUUAAUGAAUUUCAUUUUACCGAUGCAAAUCCUCUAGUACUUGUCCUUAUAAUUGAUUUAAUUUCUUUAAUCAUUGAUUGUCUUCAGCUACAUUCAUUUUGCUUUAUCCUUACUCAGUUUCGUUUCUGCAUUGUGUACAUGUCUCCAUCCUUGGACAAGCUAUAUGGGUUGCAGAAUGCACAGAUGAUUCUAGACUUUUCCAUUUUACAAACAUUUUUGUGAUCAUCUGAUUUUAAAAACAUUACUCUUAAAUUAUUUCCUGGUCUGUGAUGAAUUUGUUGCCAUACUGUAACCUAAAUGCAUUUUUAUCUACUGAUUUUUUUUACCUGCUAGGUUCUUUCUCCAGUGCUGUUGCAAGUAUUCGUAAAUUAAACAUGAUAACGUGUACAUGUACAUUAUUCUUUCUCUGGUUUCUAUUAUUGGUACACUGGGAAUUUUUUGCUAUCUGGAUUAGGUUACAACCACCCCAAUGCUACAGUGUCUGAUCUGCAAGUGUGACCUAUAUUAUCUACACGUUGCAAAAUAACCAUAAUAUAUUUGGUACAUGCAGAUAUAUUCAGAAAUGAUUGGAAAUGUCAUGAUUGAUGCUCGAUCAACUGGAAAAUAUUAUCACUGUAAGUGCAUAGGUUGGGCAAACUUGCAGAUAGCAUUCUUUUCUCCACUUGAUGAAUUUGAAGCUAAGCUAAUAUUAAGACUGGUUAUUAGAUAAUCAUGUUGGCAAACCAUCCUUUGUACAUAAUUAUUCAGAAUUUUAUAACUCUUCUUGAAUGCCAACUGCUUGAAUUUUGCCUCUUGUUGCCUGAAAUUCUCUAUAGAAACAGGAAAACUAACUUUUGACCUUUUUGAAAUUGUGUUACAUGUUCCCUCACCUAGAGGUACAUAUGAAAAUCAUGAAAUUCAAUUUUCUUAUGAAGUUGUGAAUAUUUUGCCUAGAUUCCAUAAUUGUCAACUUCUAUGGUUUACUUGACUAUCUUUCACUCCACACACAUCAACCUAUUUACACAUGCAAACACAAAUGUGUUUUGUACUGAACGAAUUGUAAAGAAUAACUACUUAUCAGUGCUAAUGUGUCUUCACUGCAGUUGUACGGCUUAUGGGGCGUGCAGCUUCACACAUUACCUUAGAGUGUGCUUUGCAAACUCAUCCAAAUAUUACAAUCAUUGGAGAAGAGGUUGCUGCAAAGAAGCUGACACUGAAAAAUGUUACUGACUACAUUGUAGAUAUAAUCUGUAAACGUGCUGAUCUGGGUUAUAACUAUGGUGUGAUCCUUAUACCUGAAGGUUUAAUUGAUUUCAUUCCUGAGGUGCAGCAUCUCAUUGCAGAACUGAAUGAAAUUUUGGCCCGUGAUGUUGUCGAUGAAGGUGGGCUAUGGAAAAAGAAACUUACAAGUCAAUCUUUGCAGCUUUUCGAAUUUCUGCCGCUAGCAAUUCGGGAACAAUUGAUGCUGGAAAGAGAUCCACAUGGAAACGUCCAGGUUGCCAAAAUAGAGACAGAGAAAAUGCUUAUUCAAAUGGUUGAAACUGAGUUGGAGAAGAGGAAGCAGCAAGGCUCAUACAAAGCCCAAUUCAAAGGACAGUCCCACUUCUUUGGUUAUGAAGGAAGAUGCGGUUUGCCAACAAACUUUGAUGCUACAUACUGCUAUGCGUUGGGCUAUGGAGCUGGAGCGCUCCUUCACAGUGGGAAAACUGGGCUGAUAUCAUCAGUCGGGAAUUUGGGUGCUCCUGUUGCAGAAUGGACAGUUGGUGGCACUGCACUGACUUCUAUGAUGGAUGUGGAGAGGAGACAUGGUUUGCUUUCUUCUUUCUAGAAUCCCUAUUCCAUUUUUUGUGCUGAUGAUAUAAUGGUUCUCGUUCCUUCUUUUUGAGAAUUACAAGACAUGUUAUAUAUUUGACACCGAUACUUGGGUAGUGUGCGUGAGUGGGAUCCUUUCAGUGCCUUUGCUAGUAGUUUUUUUCUUUGCUUGUAAAAUAAAAUGUUGUUUAUUCACCAUGGAGUAGUAAGGUUGAAUGUUAUCCAUGAGAAUGUAAGUUAAACUUGUAAGGUCUCCAAAACUUCCUUUGUUUGAGUGUUCAAGUAACAUUCUAGGAAUGCUAUUAUUAUAAAUUUGUUUGGGUGUUAUUUUUCAUUUAAUUGUUGCUGAAAUAAGUGUUUUUUUCCUUUUUCUUUCAUUUGGUAGGUAAAUUCAAGCCUGUAAUUAAAAAGGCCAUGGUGGAGCUUGAAGGUGCGCCAUUCAAAAAAUUUGCAUCCAUGCGGGAUGAGUGGGCCCUCAAGAAUCGAUAUAUUAGUCCUGGUCCCAUCCAAUUUAUGGGCCCAGGAUCCGACGCGGUUAAUCACACCUUAUUAUUGGAAUUGGGGGUUCAUGCUUAGGCGUAUGCAUGGGAUUGUGGCUUCCCACCAGCGCAAAAUCUUCUUUUUUGUUGCUUUUUGUUUCCCCUUUUUCCCAUUUCCGGUUAUUAUCGCUGUUGUUUUCUGAGUGUAGGAUUCUGGCAUUUCAGUGUGGUUAAGGUGUACUACACCAAUCGGCUGGACUUGUAUAUUGAAGUUUCUAAUCGUCGUCCUUCGUGUCAAUUGAAUAAACAGCGCUCUUGAAAAUAUGCAAAAUCAGGAAAAGAUACAAGCAAGUUGACUAUUCGCUUUCCAUGAAGGAAAAGAUACAAGCAAGUUGAAAGGGAAAUAGCAUCAGUCAUCACAUGAAGGAAAGAUACAAAAUUGGCAAGCGUCAAGCUCUCCAAGCUAAUGAAAACAAUAAAAAAACCAAGGGGAAACUGUAAGACAAUUGCUCCAAAUUUCAGAACUCAUAUGAAGAACUUUUGUCCAAAUUACCAAAUUUCUGAUAAGCAGAUGACGGGAAGCACUAUAUCAAUCACCUUUAUCUUAAUUAAUGAUAUGGUAAUUUCAGAGAUGAAUCUUAAUUAGACGGUUUCGAAAAUGAAAUACGCUGUUAUUCAUCCAUCAUUGCUUUAAAGGGUCACUAUUCUAUACGCUAUGGUUUGUUGAAUGAAAGAGACUCUCCACCAAC